RNAcentral lists this RNase P RNA (354 nucleotides) under bacterium. RNAcentral describes it as "RNase P RNA component class A". It matches the Rfam family "Bacterial RNase P class A". From Rfam's summary of the family: Ribonuclease P (RNase P) is a ubiquitous endoribonuclease, found in archaea, bacteria and eukarya as well as chloroplasts and mitochondria. Its best characterised activity is the generation of mature 5'-ends of tRNAs by cleaving the 5'-leader elements of precursor-tRNAs. The record is from RNAcentral.
CGUCCGGACCGGGCGACCGCUCGUGAAGAGAGGAAAGUCCGGGCUCGCGGAGCCGGCGCGCCGGGUAUAAUCUCGGGCUUCCGAUACGAGAGUUUCGGAAGACGGAAAGUGCCACAGAAACGAUACCGCCCCUACGGGGUAAGGGUGAAAAGUGCGGGAGUAAGACCCCGCUUGGACUAUCGCAAGGUAGCACCAUGGUAAACCCCGCGUCGAGCAAGGCCAAAUAAGAAGGUAGAGGCGGCUCCUCUCGACAACCUUCGGGUAGGCCGCAGAAGCGUCGGGGUAACCCGCCGUCAAGAUAGAUGGUCGCCGCCCUACGGGGAACAGAACCCGGCUUAUAGGUUCGGACGGAUA